UAUCCACAAGAGUCUCAAUCAGAUAGAAAGCUUAAGUGAGAGGCUUAAAAUAAUCCUGAAGAUUGAAAUAUAAUAUUAAUUUUAUUCUUCAUUAUUAAAGGGUUAAGAUAGGAAUUAUAAAAGAUUCACUAACUUUUAAUUCCUUUCUCUCUAAAUCUGUUCGAUUUGAAGGAUAAAAAAGUUGCAGAAGAUUUGUAUUUCCACUGUUUCUCUCCUUUUCUUUAUCUUUCUUUCAUAAAAAAACUUUCAAUCAAAAGAAAAUAUUAACUUUCUCUCAUUCUUUUUUUUUCUCUCCUAUUCUUCUCUCCCAACCAAGGCGUAAAGUAUACUCAUUUAAACAUGUGGCUAAAAUAUAAGGAUCAGAAUAGUCGUUGAUGGAUGUGGGAAUCGGGGAGGCUGCCAUGCAUAGAGUUUUCAUGCCACCUUACCAUGAUCUAUAAAUUGGCAUGGAAUCACAGUUGGAGAGAUUCUAUCUCUUUGGUUGCUUGACAGAAAAAAUAUAUCAUUCCUAGUGUACUUCUGCACCUAGAAUGAGAGGAAAAUUGGCCAACGCCAAUGCCUUGAGUCCCUUAGCUUCUCCAAUUCCCUUCGCUUGCCUCCCCGAUGUUGUGGUGAUUGUACCAUUGACAUCUUUGAGGAGAAUUACUCUAGAACAUAUCAGAGGUUUGAGUAGCCAAUGGAGGAGAUAUGUUAACCAAGGGGUGACGAAGAGUGGUUAGAUGAGUGGAUAUAGACUAAUGGUUGGUCAUGGAGGACCAAAAGAUGCUUGUGAUACUUGGACACUUGCAUCUACCAAAAAAAAAUUAAUGUCAAAUAUGCAUUUGACUCAAGUACAUAUCAGACAUUUGGAUAUUUAUGAAGUUCGUUGCUAGCCGCUUAUAGAGAUUGGAGAAGCAUUUAGCUCUUUCAACAAUGAGUUUGAUCCUUUAUUUGGAUGUUAGGAGUGAUUAUUUGUUGUUUUUAGAGAUGGGUCAAGGAUAUAAGUAUCGAAAGAAAAUUGUGAGAUAUUAUUUUUCUUAUAUCCUUAACUUAACUGGGCCAUGUGAAUGAGAAACUUGUAUAUUGAAAAAAUUUAACAAAAUAGAUCUUUUUAAUACCAUAAUGUGUAAACAAUGUUUCAAAGGUACAAAUAUAUAAUUUAGUUGAAAUCAUAUUUUAUUCCAUGUAUCCCCAUAUAUCCUUUUCUCCCUCUCGUUGAGCUUGACAUGCGGACAUGUGUUGUAAUCCAAUUCUUGUAUUAGUGUCCAUGAAGCAUUGAUUGAUGCCACUUCUUGUGGGAUUAGCAUUGUUACUGCAAGGUUCAAAAUCUAGAGUAGCAUUGAUCAACUAGAGUGAGACUGAGCUGGAAUGAUUCUUGCGAUCUGGUGAGAAUUCUUUCAAUCUGUAAAAUCAGUCAAGAAAUCGGAUGGAGAUCUUUCGGUUCUUGACCCUCCAAUGCUUAAGUCAGUUCGAGCCUUGAGAACAUAGAUGAAAAAGAAUGGAAGAGCAAGAGAGAUUGAAUGAAACUAGAGGAGAACUGGGUGGAAGCCAAGAGUCUGGUUUAAUUUUCUACUGGCAAAGUCUCUCCUAAUUUCAGAGAGUAGAAUUACCGAUGGAGGAUCUCUGACCUUCUAUUUUUAGAGAGAUUGAAGAGGUCGUUCUAGAGUUUGUUAGACCAUUAGAGGAGUCUAUUAGAUGGUUAGAGAGUCACCUGUAAGUGAGCUGGCGUACAACUGUGCAUAUGAGCUGGACAUGAGAUUGUGGCCAGUAUGGCUUGGUUGAGGAAACUACCAUGAGUGUUCGUAGAACGAUUAAGUCCGUUAGCAUAAUAGUUCCCUCGGUAG
This 1823-nucleotide long non-coding RNA is filed under the name Elaeis guineensis (African oil palm). Its description in RNAcentral is "long non-coding RNA (EGUI_LNC054801)". The record is from RNAcentral. Lineage: Eukaryota; Viridiplantae; Streptophyta; Magnoliopsida; Arecales; Arecaceae.